CGCCUUGCCAGCCCGCUCAGAAACUUAAAUGAAUUGACGGGGGCCCGCACAAGCGGUGGAGUAUGUGGUUUAAUUCGAUGCAACGCGAAGAACCUUACCUGGUCUUGACAUCCCGGAGACCCUUAGGAAACUAGGGGGUGCUUCCAUCUGGAAGAAUCUGGAGACAGGUGCUGCACGGCUGUCGUCAGCUCGUGUCGUGAGAUGUUGGGUUAAGUCCCGCAACGAGCGCAACCCUUGCCUUUAGUUGCCAGCAGUUCGGCUGGGCACUCUAAAGGGACUGCCGGUGUUAAACCGGAGGAAGGUGGGGAUGACGUCAAGUCCUCAUGGCCUUUAUGACCAGGGCUACACACGUACUACAAUGGCCGAUACAAAGGGCAGCGACACUGCGAGGUGAAGCCAAUCCCGUAAAAUCGGUCUCAGUCCGGAUUGGAGUCUGCAACUCGACUCCAUGAAGUUGGAAUCGCUAGUAAUCGUGGAUCAGCAUGCCACGGUGAAUACGUUCCCGGGCCUU
This 511-nucleotide ribosomal RNA is filed under the name uncultured Desulfobulbus sp. Its description in RNAcentral is "bacterial SSU rRNA". It matches the Rfam family "Bacterial small subunit ribosomal RNA", at positions 903 to 1382 of the family's 1533-position model. The record is from RNAcentral. Lineage: Bacteria; Pseudomonadati; Thermodesulfobacteriota; Desulfobulbia; Desulfobulbales; Desulfobulbaceae.